RNAcentral lists this ribosomal RNA (893 nucleotides) under human oral metagenome. RNAcentral's name for it is "bacterial SSU rRNA". It matches the Rfam family "Bacterial small subunit ribosomal RNA", at positions 540 to 1434 of the family's 1533-position model. The record is from RNAcentral.
GUUAAUCGGAAUUACUGGGCGUAAAGCGAGCGCAGACGGUUACUUAAGCAGGAUGUGAAAUCCCCGGGCUCAACCUGGGAACUGCGUUCUGAACUGGGUGACUAGAGUGUGUCAGAGGGAGGUAGAAUUCCACGUGUAGCAGUGAAAUGCGUAGAGAUGUGGAGGAAUACCGAUGGCGAAGGCAGCCUCCUGGGAUAACACUGACGUUCAUGCUCGAAAGCGUGGGUAGCAAACAGGAUUAGAUACCCUGGUAGUCCACGCCCUAAACGAUGUCAAUUAGCUGUUGGGCAACUUGAUUGCUUAGUAGCGUAGCUAACGCGUGAAAUUGACCGCCUGGGGAGUACGGUCGCAAGAUUAAAACUCAAAGGAAUUGACGGGGACCCGCACAAGCGGUGGAUGAUGUGGAUUAAUUCGAUGCAACGCGAAGAACCUUACCUGGUCUUGACAUGUACGGAAUCCUCCAGAGACGGAGGAGUGCCUUCGGGAGCCGUAACACAGGUGCUGCAUGGCUGUCGUCAGCUCGUGUCGUGAGAUGUUGGGUUAAGUCCCGCAACGAGCGCAACCCUUGUCAUUAGUUGCCAUCAUUUAGUUGGGCACUCUAAUGAGACUGCCGGUGACAAGCCGGAGGAAGGUGGGGAUGACGUCAAGUCCUCAUGGCCCUUAUGACCAGGGCUUCACACGUCAUACAAUGGUCGGUACAGAGGGUAGCCAAGCCGCGAGGUGGAGCCAAUCUCACAAAACCGAUCGUAGUCCGGAUUGCACUCUGCAACUCGAGUGCAUGAAGUCGGAAUCGCUAGUAAUCGCAGGUCAGCAUACUGCGGUGAAUACGUUCCCGGGUCUUGUACACACCGCCCGUCACACCAUGGGAGUGGGGGAUACCAGAAGUAGGUAGG